AUAAAAAUGGUGCGGCGUAUUGUUAAAAGUUGUAGGAAUAAAACAACGGGGGUUCGUGAGGAAGCUGUGAAUUUUUUUUCAGCUACCGAAAAAUGAAGUGACGCGGGAAGGAUGGCUGAAAAAAAUAGGAGGCUAUGUUUUACCACCAAAAGUUGAAUUUGCAAGGAUAUGCUCGGUUCAUUUUAGUCAAGAGUCCUUUCAUCAAGGUCGAGCACGGAAAGACCCUAUUAAGAAACGUCACCUACUACCAUCGGCUGUGCCAACGUUAUUUUUGAAUUGUUCAGAAGCUCCAAAUGUAAACAAGAAUGCGGUGGCUGAACC
Long non-coding RNA from Temnothorax curvispinosus, 321 nucleotides. RefSeq lists it as uncharacterized. The record is from RefSeq and is a predicted model, not a curated record. The transcript is spliced from 3 exons. NCBI's taxonomy places the organism in Eukaryota, Metazoa, Arthropoda, Insecta, Hymenoptera, Formicidae.